AGGCUUGAGUCUUGUAGAGGGGGGUAGAAUUCCAGGUGUAGCGGUGAAAUGCGUAGAGAUCUGGAGGAAUACCGGUGGCGAAGGCGGCCCCCUGGACAAAGACUGACGCUCAGGUGCGAAAGCGUGGGGAGCAAACAGGAUUAGAUACCCUGGUAGUCCACGCCGUAAACGAUGUCUACUUGGAGGUUGUGCCCUUGAGGCGUGGCUUCCGGAGCUAACGCGUUAAGUAGACCGCCUGGGGAGUACGGCCGCAAGGUUAAAACUCAAAUGAAUUGACGGGGGCCCGCACAAGCGGUGGAGCAUGUGGUUUAAUUCGAUGCAACGCGAAGAACCUUACCUGGUCUUGACAUCCACAGAACUUUCCAGAGAUGGAUUGGUGCCUUCGGGAACUGUGAGACAGGUGCUGCAUGGCUGUCGUCAGCUCGUGUUGUGAAAUGUUGGGUUAAGUCCCGCAACGAGCGCAACCCUUAUCCUUUGUUGCCAGCGAUUA
RNAcentral lists this ribosomal RNA (490 nucleotides) under Salmonella enterica. Its description in RNAcentral is "bacterial SSU rRNA". It matches the Rfam family "Bacterial small subunit ribosomal RNA", at positions 638 to 1127 of the family's 1533-position model. The record is from RNAcentral. Lineage: Bacteria; Pseudomonadati; Pseudomonadota; Gammaproteobacteria; Enterobacterales; Enterobacteriaceae.